Non-coding RNA from Pantherophis guttatus, 2348 nucleotides. Lineage: Eukaryota; Metazoa; Chordata; Lepidosauria; Squamata; Colubridae. The record is from RefSeq and is a predicted model, not a curated record.
UUCUUUAGCCAAGCAUUUCUGUAUACCAGCAAUGGUAGGCCAAUACCUUUGGGAAGUUAUCCCCUAAAAUCAAAAAAACAGCCUAAAUGUCUGCUGAGGUUCUCAGUCAUUCAAGUCAUAGUUGUCUCAAAGGUAUUUUGAGGUAUUUUCAAAAGGCAACUGGACUGUUUUGUUUUGUUUUUAGUUGUGGGAGAAAAAGAAAAUAUUUCACUUCUUGUUCACGAAGAUUCAUCCAUUCUAAUGGUGAGGAGAUGGGAGGAUAGUUUCUGAUAGGAUGUUUCCAUCUCCCCACCAUCAGAACUGAUGAAGUUUCUUGGUUGAGAAGUUUUCUUCUUCUCAAAGAAAAAAAACAACCCAGUUGUCUUUUGAAAAAGCACCUUUGAAACAAAACCAGACUAUUUUUCAUUGUGUUGCCGAGGAAGAGUAGCUCUUUGGAUGUACUGCAGACUGCCUCUUAAUGUGGAAGCUCCUGCAUAACGCUGUACACCGCCCUGAGUCCUUCGGGAGUAGGAAGCCAUUAAGUGAAUCACCACACAUCAGCAAAGCACAUGGCUGUCAAGCUACUCAUAUGGUCAUUCAGCAACACCAGCUUACCGAAGAAGUUACCGGAAAACAACUGGGAAGAUCACAAAUUGCAAUCACAUGACCACAAGACACUGUAACCAUCAUAAAUGAGAGUCAGUUGCCAAGUACCAAAAUUGCAAUCACUUGACUGUGAGGGUGGUGCAGCAAUUGUAAUUUGGAGGACGGAUCAUACAUCACUUUUUCUGAGACUGUUGUAACUUUGAACCACUGUUAAACGAAAGGUCAUAAAUUGAAAACUACUGUACUGCAGAGUCUCUGGAGCAUGAAGGAGCUUGAUAUGCCUGAUACACCUGCAGCUCGGGACUAAUGAAUGGACCAGUGGUGGGUUGCCCCCGUUCGCACCGGUUCUAUAGAACCGGUAGUAAAACCGGCGGGAAGCUCCGCUCACCGACCCUGACAUCAUCAAAAUGCUUGCGAAGAAGAGCAUGCGCGCGGGUGAGCGAAGCGAGUGUGCGUGCGCGGCCCUGCUGCAAACCGGUAGUAAAGACCAAAAGGGCAGAAAGCAGGGGGAGAGAGAGAUGGGCAUCUAUAACAAUAUAAUCUAUAACUAUAACAAUGCAACAGUUUCCAGAUCACCGCAAGAAAUACACUAAAUUAAAGUUUUUAGAGAGCAAGUUUGGUUAAGGCACCAACUGGAAGAUUAGAAAGUUCUACACCUACCUUUGGGACAAAGCCUGCUGAGUGACUUGGGCCAGCCCCUUUCUCACAGCCCUAGGAAGCAGGCAACAGCAAACUAUUUUUGAAAUCUUGCCAAGAAAACUGCAGAGACUUUUCCAGGCAGUCAUAGGAAUCAACACUGGUUUGAAAGCAUACACAAUUUUUUAAAAAUUUUAACUUUACUAAACCACCUUGGUCUUUUUUGGAUUGAAUGGUAUAUCAACUGCAAUAAAUAAAUAAAUUAGAUAUAUUUGUAAGUAACAACCUGAUGUGGCAGUAAGUAUACUCUUCCAGAAACUUUGCUGGUUAGAUUUGGUUGGUUCUAUUUUAAUAACACAGAAGUUAUUCUACUGGUAUAUAUACCAAUAAGAUACAAUUUUUAAAAUUAUAUUUUUGUUCAGUAUUUUGAUUUGUAUGCAUUCAACUGCAGAAAGGAAGUCACUGUACUUCCUAUAGGUGGGCCAGCUAAUAUUGAUGUAUUGAUGUUAUUGCUGUUACAUAGGCACAACAGUAGCUUUAUGUGUGCAAAUGACACUGUGGUCCUGCUAGCCACUUCAUUAAGACUAAUACAAACUCCAUCGAACUUUCCACAAAUUCAGUAAAAUGGAAAGUCCUGUAGGAUCCCUAAUGAUAUCUAUGCUUUUGCAUUGUAGAUGUAUUGGGAGAAGUAUUCCAUAAUUGUAGAAAACUCACCAAGAAAGAUUUCUUCUUAGUUAAAUCAAAUUUGAUUUCUGAUAUUUGUGGUACUUGAAGCAGAGUUUUCAGUCUAAAAUUUUAAUUGACAAAUCAUCAGAUCACACAAUAAUCACUGGCAGAAAGGGAGGGAGAAAGUGACAAAGAAAAAGUAAGUGCCAGAAUCAGACAGAGAAAGAAAGAAAGAAACACUUUUGUUUUUUGUCAUCCCAAGAAGUCCAUCUCUGUAUUAUGUCAAGUCCAAGUUAUAAAGUUAAAAUGAUGCUUUCAGUUGGGCCCAGAAGGAAACUAAUAGGCAGUGCAUCAUUAUAAGAUUUAGUUAAAUAUGUUCCCACAUUCAUAUGGAGUUGAGCAACUUCAUUUAAAGUUGGGAGGCCACAUGCCGAAGCAAAGUUUUUAACAAGGUGCGUGGG